Molecule: long non-coding RNA, 223 nt
Filed under: Lathyrus oleraceus (garden pea)
Lineage: Eukaryota; Viridiplantae; Streptophyta; Magnoliopsida; Fabales; Fabaceae
Description: Pisum sativum (pea) long non-coding RNA (PSAT_LNC001542)
Source: RNAcentral
AAUGAGAGAGAAAAUCCAGAACAUUCAUUAUCACAUAAUCAUCUACCUCCUCUUCAAAUCAUUCAUCAUCAACAUAUACAAGCCAACACACCUACCUGCAAUCACCCUCAUCACUAUCAUACAAAAUCCAAAAACAACAACAAAGACAAAAAAAAUAGAAUACAACAUAAUCGUGUUGCAUAUUGACACAAAGAAACUCACCAAAUCACAACCAUAUUCAACA